Molecule: ribosomal RNA, 257 nt
Filed under: uncultured bacterium
Lineage: Bacteria
Description: partial 16S ribosomal RNA
Rfam family: Bacterial small subunit ribosomal RNA
Source: RNAcentral
CACGUAGGGUGCGAGCGUUGUCCGGAAUUAUUGGGCGUAAAGAGCUCGUAGGCGGUGUGUCGCGUCGGCCGUGAAAACCUGCAGCUUAACUGUGGGCGUGCGGUCGAUACGGGCAUCACUGGAGUUCGGCAGGGGAGACUGGAAUUCCUGGUGUAGCGGUGAAAUGCGCAGAUAUCAGGAGGAACACCGGUGGCGAAGGCGGUUCUCUGGGCAUGUCCUGACGCUGGAGGAGCGGAAAAGUGUGGGGAGCGAACAGG